ACUGUGUUAGCAAAUUUAUGCGGCUGAGUUAGAGUCAGCAGAUACGCCGUUUGGUGUACAUAGUG
RNAcentral lists this transfer RNA (65 nucleotides) under Notospermus geniculatus. RNAcentral describes it as "tRNA-Leu". The record is from RNAcentral. Lineage: Eukaryota; Metazoa; Nemertea; Pilidiophora; Heteronemertea; Lineidae.